This 253-nucleotide ribosomal RNA is filed under the name Micropepsis sp. Its description in RNAcentral is "partial 16S ribosomal RNA". It matches the Rfam family "Bacterial small subunit ribosomal RNA", at positions 524 to 776 of the family's 1533-position model. The record is from RNAcentral. Lineage: Bacteria; Pseudomonadati; Pseudomonadota; Alphaproteobacteria; Micropepsales; Micropepsaceae. RNAcentral also lists the same sequence under 1 other name.
UACGAAGGGGGCUAGCGUUGUUCGGAAUUACUGGGCGUAAAGCGCGCGCAGGUGGUCCUUCAAGUCAGGGGUGAAAGCCCAGAGCUCAACUCUGGAACUGCCUUUGAGACUGUGGGACUUGGGUACGGGAGAGGUGAGUGGAAUUCCGAGUGUAGAGGUGAAAUUCGUAGAUAUUCGGAAGAACACCAGUGGCGAAGGCGGCUCACUGGCCCGUUACCGACACUCAGGCGCGACAGCGUGGGGAGCAAACAGG